RNAcentral lists this non-coding RNA (27 nucleotides) under Homo sapiens (human). Lineage: Eukaryota; Metazoa; Chordata; Mammalia; Primates; Hominidae. The record is from RNAcentral.
GCUCGUUUGUCCCACUAGACCAGGCCU